GACCGGAAGGUGCCUGCGGCUCUGUAGAGCUGGAGGUCAGCGUGGCUUUUUGCAUGCCGAAGUUCCAGCAACCUGCUGGCAAGACUGCUGUGAGCCAUGGUCUGAGUCUCAGAGAUGACUUUUCACACCAUCAAGGCCACUUUCUCAGCUUAUUGACAGCUUUAUGAGCGCUGUUGGAAAAGCCCCAGCUUCCUUCGUUCCUCGGCUCCAGCUUUCCGUCGGGCGAGAGGCAGGUUUUUAAUUAGGGCCUGAGAGCCUUUGCUUUGCUUCAGCGUUCCCCAGGGUCAUAAAAUCAUUAAGGUUGGAAAGGCCACCAAGAUCAUUUAGUCCAACCACCAACCCAUCAAUCAUCCCCAAGGAAGAUUACAAGUAGUGUUGAUAAAUGUAAUAAUAGUGAGGUCAUCGGCUUCCAUGAGCCAUGGGUAUGGUGGACCAGCCUGGGGCUGAGCUCUGAGCAGCAGGGCGGCUGGGUGACCUUGCUGCAGCCCAGAUUACUCUGAGCUCCCAUGAAAGUGUUGUCUUGGCUCCAAGUAACUUUUUAUGUAAAACGCAAAUGAUAGAAAACCAAUUAGGCACUUCUGGAAUGGGUAAAAAACUGCUGUCAUCUCCGAUUUUAAAUGGGAAUUCAUCAGUGGGCAGACAUGUUUCUAAUUGAGCCCAGGAGUUAUCGCUGAUCCAUCUUCGAGGAAGAAUUGUUUCUGGGAAGUCUUAAGGUUUGGGUUAUCCUGGAGAUCAGAAGUGGAAAUCACAGCGAUCUCUUCUGGUUUUUGUAAUGGAUUCAUCCAACAAGCCCUGACACCAGGAGCUCAAACCAACACCAGAGGCUGUCCCACAAAACCAGGCUGAUCCAGAAGUGCCUUAGGAGCUGCAAUCAUUUCUUACCAGCUUUGGUGAAGGCUUCUGAAAGCAACAACGAAGCAGGGACUGAGUUUUCUGCAGGCCUUGUUAUUUAUUAAAGCGUUCUAGAUCCAGAUUAAUUCACUUAGCUUCGUAUUGAUUCCUUCACCUGCUUGGAAAUGAGAAGUGCAAACACAGCUGCAUGCUGGUGGCUGCCUCUCCUGGGAGCCCUACAGAAGAGAUCCCCGAUGGUUUGGGAAGCCGCUUAACUCAGUUUGGGGACUUACAGAGAAGAAUGGCAAAGGCAUCCUGAAGCCUUCGUGCUCCCUGGGAACACACAAGCACAGCUGCUCUCUGUCACCAUCAGUUCUGGGAUUGCUGCUCCCUCCCAUUUUUCCCGUGGUGGAUUCUGGUCUGACCAGGAACUGGAGAUCUUGUUCUGGUUAUUGGUUGCUAAGUGUUCUGAGGAGGGCUCCUUGCUGCAGGAUGGUCCUCGCUGCCCAGUGUGCAGGUGCUUGUAGAACCACAGGCUGUGAGCCUGGUAUUAGCAAGCGUGUGGAGCCUUUGUGUCAUCUCCAGGGGAGAGCUGAGUCCCAUUGAAGGCUGAGGACAGAUGUCAUUCAGAGGGACGGUGACUCCACACCUCCCCAGGCAGCCUGUGCCAGUGCAUCACCACUCUUCUUGAGAAGAAAUUGUUCCUCAUAUCCAACCUGACCAUCACCUGGUGCAGCUCGAGGCCAUCACCUCUCAUCCUAUCACUGUUACCUGGAAGCAGAGGCCGACCCCCACCUCACCACCACCUCCUGUC
This is a long non-coding RNA of Lagopus muta (rock ptarmigan), 1645 nucleotides long. RefSeq lists it as uncharacterized. The record is from RefSeq and is a predicted model, not a curated record. The transcript is spliced from 8 exons. Lineage: Eukaryota; Metazoa; Chordata; Aves; Galliformes; Phasianidae.